Molecule: ribosomal RNA, 508 nt
Filed under: uncultured bacterium
Lineage: Bacteria
Description: partial 16S ribosomal RNA
Rfam family: Bacterial small subunit ribosomal RNA
Source: RNAcentral
GACGAACGCUGGCGGCGUGCCUAAUACAUGCCAGUCGAACGCUUCUUUCCUCCCGAGUGCUUGCACUCAAUUGGAAAGAGGAGUGGCGGACGGGUGAGUAACACGUGGGUAACCUAACCAUCAGAGGGGGAUAACACUUGGAAACAGGUGCUAAUACAGCAUAACAGUUUAUGCCGCAUGGCAUAAGAGUGAAAGGCGCUUUCGGGUGUCGCUGAUGGCUGGACCCGCGGUGCAUUAGCUAGUUGGUGAGGUAACGGCUCACCAAGGCCACGAUGCAUAGCCGAUCUGAGAGGGUGAUCGGCCACACUGGGACUGAGGCACGGCCCAGACUCCUACGGGAGACAGCAGUAGGGAAUCUUCGGGAAUGGACGAAAGUCUGACCGAGCAACGCCGCGUGAGUGAAGAAGGUUUUCGGAUCGUAAAACUCUGUUGUUAGAGAAGAACAAGGACGUUAGUAACUGAACGUCACCUGACGGUAUCUAACCAGUAAGCCACGGCUAACUACGUG